UGCCUCAGUGAUAAAAAGGAAAGUAGUC
This 28-nucleotide non-coding RNA is filed under the name Mus musculus (house mouse). Lineage: Eukaryota; Metazoa; Chordata; Mammalia; Rodentia; Muridae. The record is from RNAcentral.